Molecule: transfer RNA, 73 nt
Filed under: Felis catus (domestic cat)
Lineage: Eukaryota; Metazoa; Chordata; Mammalia; Carnivora; Felidae
Rfam family: tRNA
About the family: Transfer RNA (tRNA) molecules are approximately 80 nucleotides in length. Their secondary structure includes four short double-helical elements and three loops (D, anti-codon, and T loops).
Source: Rfam by way of RNAcentral
ACCUGUCUGGCUCAGUUGGAAGAGCAUAAGACUCUUGAUCUCGAAGUCAUGAGUUUGAGACCCAUGCUGGGUG